GGGCCCGCACAAGCGGUGGAGCAUGUGGUUCAAUUCGACGCAACGCGAAGAACCUUACCCAGGCUUGAACAGCGAGUGACCAUCCAUGAAAGUGGACUUCCGCAAGGACACUCGUAGAGGUGCUGCAUGGCUGUCGUCAGCUCGUGUCGUGAGAUGUUGGGUUAAGUCCCGCAACGAGCGCAACCCUUGUCCUCUGUUGCCAUCAGGUUAUGCUGGGCACUCUGAGGAGACUGCCGGUGAUAAACCGGAGGAAGGUGGGGAUGACGUCAAGUCAGCACGGCCUUUAUGUCUGGGGCCACACACGUGCUACAAUGGCCGGUACAAAGCGUCGCGAGCCCGCGAGGGGGAGCUAAUCGCAGAAAACCGGUCUCAGUUCGGAUUGCAGGCUGCAACUCGCCUGCAUGAAGUCGGAAUCGCUAGUAAUCGCGGAUCAGCACGCCGCGGUGAAUACGUUCCCGGGCCUU
This 464-nucleotide ribosomal RNA is filed under the name uncultured bacterium. RNAcentral's name for it is "bacterial SSU rRNA". It matches the Rfam family "Bacterial small subunit ribosomal RNA", at positions 917 to 1382 of the family's 1533-position model. The record is from RNAcentral.